GGACGAGCGCUGGCGGCGUGCCUAACACAUGCAAGUCGAACGGAACUAUUUGACUGAUUCCUUCGGGAUGAAGAAUUUUAGUUAGUGGCGGACGGGUGAGUAACGCGUGAGUAACCUGCCUCUGAGAGGGGAAUAACGUUCUGAAAAGAACGCUAAUACCGCAUAACACAUAUUUGCCGCAUGACAGAUAUGUCAAAGAUUUUAUCGCUCGGAGAUGGACUCGCGUCCGAUUAGUUAGUUGGUGAGGUAACGGCUCACCAAGACCGCGAUCGGUAGCCGGACUGAGAGGUUGAACGGCCACAUUGGGACUGAGACACGGCCCAGACUCCUACGGGAGGCAGCAGUGGGGGAUAUUGCGCAAUGGGGGCAACCCUGAACCGCAGCAACGCCGCGUGAAGGAUGAAGGUUUUCGGAUUGUAAACUUCUUUUAUCAGGGACGAACUCUGACGGUACCUGAUGAAUAAGCUCCGGCUAACUACGUGCCAGCCGCCGC
RNAcentral lists this ribosomal RNA (493 nucleotides) under uncultured bacterium. RNAcentral's name for it is "bacterial SSU rRNA". It matches the Rfam family "Bacterial small subunit ribosomal RNA", at positions 27 to 518 of the family's 1533-position model. The record is from RNAcentral.